RNAcentral lists this ribosomal RNA (253 nucleotides) under uncultured bacterium. RNAcentral's name for it is "partial 16S ribosomal RNA". It matches the Rfam family "Bacterial small subunit ribosomal RNA", at positions 524 to 776 of the family's 1533-position model. The record is from RNAcentral.
UACGGAGGGUGCGAGCGUUGUCCGGAAUCACUGGGCGUAAAGGGCGCGUAGGUGGCUCGUGAAGCGUGCGGUGAAAGUCCGAGGCUCAACCUCGGAUCGGCCGUGCGGACUCGCGGGCUCGAGCGUUGUAGAGGCGGGUGGAAUUCCGGGUGUAGCGGUGGAAUGCGUAGAGAUCCGGAAGAACACCGGUGGCGAAGGCGGUCGUCUGGACACAUAUUGACGCUGAGGCUCGAAAGCAUGGGGAGCAAACAGG